Molecule: ribosomal RNA, 253 nt
Filed under: uncultured bacterium
Lineage: Bacteria
Description: partial 16S ribosomal RNA
Rfam family: Bacterial small subunit ribosomal RNA
Source: RNAcentral
UACGGAGGGUGCAAGCGUUGUCCGGAAUCACUGGGCGUAAAGGGCGCGUAGGCGGCCCGGUAAGCGUGUGGUGAAAGCCCGGGGCUCAACCCCGGGUCGGCCGUGCGAACUGCUGGGCUGGAGCACUGUAGGGGCGGGUGGAAUUCCGGGUGUAGCGGUGGAAUGCGUAGAGAUCCGGAAGAACACCAGUGGCGAAGGCGGCCCGCUGGGCAGUUGCUGACGCUGAGGCGCGACAGCGUGGGGAGCAAACAGG